UACAGAGGUCUCAAGCGUUGUUCGGAUUCAUUGGGCGUAAAGGGUGCGUAGCCGGGGCGGUAGGUCGGGGUGGAAAUUUCGAGGCUUAACCUCGAAACUGCAUUUGAUACUGCGGUGCUUGAGGACUGGAGAGGAGACUGGAAUUCAUGGUGUAGCAGUGAAAUGCGUAGAGAUCAUGAGGAAGACCAGUGGCGAAGGCGGGUCUCUGGACAGUUCCUGACGCUGAGGCACGAAGGCCAGGGGAGCAAACGGG
RNAcentral lists this ribosomal RNA (253 nucleotides) under uncultured bacterium. Its description in RNAcentral is "partial 16S ribosomal RNA". It matches the Rfam family "Bacterial small subunit ribosomal RNA", at positions 524 to 776 of the family's 1533-position model. The record is from RNAcentral.